CCAAUUCACAAAUGCGAAUACUUUGCAAGUAUGCACUCACCUGAGACCAGUAUGAGAUCCAAAUGCUGCGAAUUUCAUGGGUGACACGAGGUUCGGAUAGGACAUCAACCCAUCGGUGGAGGAAUCGCUCUUGCCUGCAAUGAACAUUUAGAUUAUGAAAAUGACGUUUAAAUACAUAUAUUUUCCACAUAGAGACAUCAUAGGGUUGGCAGCUACCUGUCGGGUGCCCAAGAUCUGUAUCUCUCUCCAGGUUGCUUGAAGUUGUUCUCCUUCUCAAUGACGCACUGCAUAUCCAACCAAACCACCAUACACAAAUUAAACGCAAAGUUGCUACAUGAAUCAUGAUGUGCAGUACUCCAAAAGGAUUCAGACAUGCAACAAGCAUUCGUGCAUGGCUCUAACUUUUUACAUUCCAAGUGCCUUCAAGUUUCACAUAAAUAGAAAAACACAGAAAACAAGAACAUGGGGAAAACUAAGGGAAAUUAAAAUGAAUUCUUUUACAGUGAUACAAACUGACCUUCUCACGCUUUCCAGUGCAGAUAUUAGAAGGAAUUGGGAAGGUCUCAGCAUGGCGAGCAGGAUCAUACCUUGAUGGGAAGUAAUUAACCUACAGAACAGUAUGGCAUCUAAGCAGAGAAAACUUCGAUGAACAAAAAGCAAAAAUUGAAGUACAUGUCUGAAUCUUGGUCAAUGCAAGUGUAAAAAGACACAAAGGCAUUCAAUAAGCCUCAACAAUCGAGGGAAAAAGUGGUAUUAUACUUGGAAAGGAAAUUCUAAAAAGCAAAAGUACCUCCUCAUCCCUAUGCAUGAAAUUCAUAAAUCCUUCAUGGUGAUUGUUGUGUGAUGAGAACACUUGGGAGCAUUAACUGGGAGCUGCAAAUAGUUCGGGCCAAGACGGUGCCUCUGAGUAUCAGAAUAGGAGAAGAUUCGAGUUUGGAGCAACUUAUCAUCUGAAUAGUAGACACCAGGGACAACAAUGGCAGGGCAGAAAGCAAGUUGUUCAUUCUCUGCAAAGAAGUUAUCAAUGUUCUUAUUCAGUACCAAACGGCCAACCGGCUGCAGGGGAAGAAUAUCUUCAGGCCAGGUCUUAGUAACAUCAAGUGGGUCAAAGUCAAAUCUGUCUUCUUGAUCAGGAUCAAUUGUCUGAAUAAAAAGUUUCCACUCCGGGUAGUUGCCAGCUGCGAUGGAGUCAUAGAGAUCCUUGGUAGCGUGGCUGUGAUUAGCUCCUCCAACCUUAAUAGCCUCAUCCUCCAACAAACACUUGACUCCACAAGUGGGUUUCCAAUGAAAUUUCACGUAGUGUGCCUUCCCGGCCUUACUGAUAAGAGUAUAGGUGGUUAACACCAGACCCUUCCAUGUGCCUGUAAUCUUGUGGAACUCCCAGGUCAUCCAACAGGAAGGUGAACAUGUGGAGGCUUUCUGGAUGGUGGGAGAAGAAGUCAAGGAUCCUCCAAUUCUCUUGGAUGUGGGACUUAGGGUUUGGUUUGAGAGCAUGGACCAUGUCCGGGAAUUUCAUUCCAUCGCGGACAAAAAAGAUGGGGAAAUUGUUUCCCACCAAAUCAAAAUUACCCUGUUUAAGAAAAAUAAAGUCACGAGCAUGGGUAAAGAAAGGAAUGCAUGUAUAAACAAGCAAAAACAUUAGGACCAAAUGAUUUCCAAGAGUUAGUUAAUAAUAAUGUUACAAAGAAAUCAACAAUCUGUAGAAUCAAAACAAUAUUUAAAAAAUAAAAUAAAAGGAUGAAUGCCAUAUUUCAUGGAAGUCACAACACUACUGGGUUUAGUUAAAUAUGACUAAAGUACUUGUCACUGGAGCUGUGACUAGAGAUACCACCGCAUAUUUUUAACUACAAAUAUGCUGUUGAAUAUAAUUAUGAUCAGCGACGUGUGAAACUCAACUAUCAUUAUCCAGAGGUCAUAAAAGAUCAAUAAGCCAUUGAAACCUCACCUCUCUGGUGUAAAACUUCACCGCAAAACCACGAGGAUCCCUCAGGGUUUCAGGGCUGCCACGCUCAUGGAUAACAGUGGAGAAACGCACAAUGACAGGUGUCUGAACUCCAGGGGCUCGAAGGAAGUCAGCACAUGUAAGGUGAGAAAUAUCAUGGGUGACCUCAAAGAAACCUUUUGCACUGGCUCCCCUAGCAUGGACAACACGCUCUGGGAUCCGUUCUCUAUCAAAAUUGGCGAGUUUCUCCACCAGAUGGUAGUCCUCGAGCAGAAUUGGACCUGACAAGUAGACAAAGAAUUAAAUUCUUAACUGCAUCUACUCAACUCGACAUAAUCAACCAUCCCGAUUACAUGCAAAAGAUGUGAUAAGAAUGAAACUAGCGGUUAUACAUUUUAUAAAGUAUGUCAAAUAUAGAUGACUGCUAUCACUUGCAAAGAUAGUAACUUUUAUUUAGUUUCAGGCAACCAGACGAUCAAAAAAUCUAUCUUGACAACCUGAGAGGCAAAGAAAAAAAGGGACCGGCAGGAAUUCAUUGAAAACCAACAGACUGGGAACUAUAGUUGAGAAAUUUAAACAUAAAUGCCGAAUAGGGAAAGUUCUAACUUCAAAAACAAACUAUAUAAAUAAGUAAAUAUAUAUAAAUAUAUAUCAGAAAAACAACAAGAGUUUCAAAAUAGCAAUCAUCUUCAACUUGGUAGUGAUACAAACAUCCAAAAAGUCAUCUUGUAGUUCACAAUAACAUGGACAGAAUAUCGAUGCAUACACAGAUUACAGCAUCAAAACAUGAUUAUGAUUAUUCACAAGGUGCUCGAGAAGCGAUGUGCAACUAAAAAACCACAAAAAGGUAAAACUUGAAGAAAAUUUGCAAUUGAAAAUCCGUCAAAAGCAAAUAAACAAAUAGAUAAAUCAAAAGUGGAUUAAGAAUUAAAUCACCUCUCGGUCCAACAGUGAGAGAAGAGUUGUUGUUCCAAACUGGAGCACCGGAAUUGGUGGUCCAGAACGGGGAAUUGAAAGCACUUGAAGGGCGGUGCUGCAACACACACGAAAACAAACCAACCCAAAACCAUUAGAGAGGGCUUUGUUUGGUGGCCGAGAAAAUAAACAAGAAAAGUAAUUCAACAAGAAAAUCAAACUUAAAUCAAUCAAAUUAAGAGCAUAAACAAGUAAAAAAGAAAAAACCCCAGAAAGAUUAAGAUUAAGAUUAGCGUGUUACCCUGUAAGGAUCCAUGGAGGAAGGUCGGGUUAGAGAGAGAGCUUGAUGGAGAAGGUAAGAGGUGAGCAGAGGAAGGGGGUAAGCCACUCACUCACUCAGAUGGGGCAAUCGAAGGCUGAAAUGUAAGCAAAUUUGGUGGAUUUAUAAACGCUGACUUUCGGCUUUGGGUAUGGGUCGUGGGCGUGGCUCACGCUUUUGUGUGAAAUUUCCAUUUUCCGCUCUCGGCCUCACGUUAUCUUUAUCCACACACACACACAGCUGGAAGGUCACUACGUAUCUUUGCCAAUUUAUCGUCACUACAUAUCUUUGCCUAUAAACUACGUACGCAUCCGCAUGGCUAUAAAAGUAUGACUACACAACAUCUCGCAUAGAAACAGUGAAAAUCGGUGCCUGCAACCGGCACUUGUUACAUUUUUUUUUUGGAAAAAGUUUGACUGUAGUAAAACUACGUCAAAACUUCCUCAACUUUUAUUAAACAAGUCCAAAAUUACAAGUAAACAAGAAACCCAACUUACAAUUAUACACAAUCAAAAAGGACCGAAACCAACAGAAAACAAGAAAGAGGCCCCACAACAAUGAAGCCCCAAAAAAAACACAGAACAACCAACCGAGAAGCUUCUGCUGAAAUCUCCUCCACCGACAGAGAUCCAAGCCAGCCACCGGAAACGUCAUCCAUCACCGAGCAUCGCCGCCUCAGACAACACCGCCAACCCCGAACAGCAACCAGAUCACAUCCAUUAACAGGAGAUAAUUGGCACCAAACAGGGAUUACAUUGGAGUUGCAUAGUACGAACGAUUCGGACUUAUUACAUUGAGGCUACAUGUCACUUACAUGCGAAAUUUAGUGUGACAGUAUCACGAUACUCAAAACAUCUUGCAUUGGCAUCGCCCUCAAAUGCUCGGCCUCACGUUAAGACGAGACGCCAGUUUUUGACCAAAGGAUCGGUCAGCCU
This 4111-nucleotide long non-coding RNA is filed under the name Malus domestica (apple). Its description in RNAcentral is "long non-coding RNA (MDOM_LNC005454)". Lineage: Eukaryota; Viridiplantae; Streptophyta; Magnoliopsida; Rosales; Rosaceae. The record is from RNAcentral.